GCCUUAGUGGUGGAAUGGCAGACACUGCGGACUCAAAAUCCGUCGGAGAAAUCCAUGCAGGUUCAAGUCCUGUCUAAGGCACCA
Molecule: transfer RNA, 84 nt
Filed under: Mycoplasmopsis felis
Lineage: Bacteria; Bacillati; Mycoplasmatota; Mycoplasmoidales; Metamycoplasmataceae
Also listed under: 1 other name
Description: Mycoplasma felis tRNA-Leu
Rfam family: tRNA
About the family: Transfer RNA (tRNA) molecules are approximately 80 nucleotides in length. Their secondary structure includes four short double-helical elements and three loops (D, anti-codon, and T loops).
Source: RNAcentral